RNAcentral lists this ribosomal RNA (867 nucleotides) under uncultured Flavobacteriales bacterium. RNAcentral describes it as "bacterial SSU rRNA". It matches the Rfam family "Bacterial small subunit ribosomal RNA", at positions 17 to 876 of the family's 1533-position model. The record is from RNAcentral. Lineage: Bacteria; Pseudomonadati; Bacteroidota; Flavobacteriia; Flavobacteriales.
UCCUGGCUCAGGAUGAACGCUAGCGGCAGGCUUAACACAUGCAAGUCGAGGGGUAACAGGAUUUAGUUUACUAGAUUGCUGACGACCGGCGCACGGGUGAGUAACGCGUAUACAAUUUGCCUUUUACUGGAGGAUAGCCAAGAGAAAUUUUGAUUAAUACUCCAUAGUAUUAUUUGAUCACCUGGUCGAGUAAUUAAAGCUCCGGCGGUAAAAGAUGAGUAUGCGUCCUAUUAGCUAGAUGGUAAGGUAACGGCUUACCAUGGCGACGAUAGGUAGGGGUCCUGAGAGGGAGAUCCCCCACACUGGUACUGAGACACGGACCAGACUCCUACGGGAGGCAGCAGUGAGGAAUAUUGGGCAAUGGAGGCAACUCUGACCCAGCCAUGCCGCGUGCAGGAAGACGGCCCUAUGGGUUGUAAACUGCUUUUAUACAGGAAGAAACUUAUCCACGUGUGGAUAACUGACGGUACUGUAAGAAUAAGGACCGGCUAACUCCGUGCCAGCAGCCGCGGUAAUACGGAGGGUCCAAGCGUUAUCCGGAAUCAUUGGGUUUAAAGGGUCCGUAGGCGGGCAAUUAAGUCAGAGGUGAAAUCCCACAGCUCAACUGUGGAACUGCCUUUGAUACUGGUUGUCUUGAGUUAUAGUGAAGUAGAUAGAAUAUGUAGUGUAGCGGUGAAAUGCAUAGAUAUUACAUAGAAUACCGAUUGCGAAGGCAGUCUACUAACUGUACACUGACGCUGAUGGACGAAAGCGUGGGGAGCGAACAGGAUUAGAUACCCUGGUAGUCCACGCCGUAAACGAUGGUCACUAGUUGUUGGGGUCUUGUACCUCAGUUGAUUAAGAGAAAUUGAUAAGUGACCCACCUGG